AGUGAACGCUGGCGGUAGGCCUAACACAUGCAAGUCGAACGGCAGCACAGUAAGAGUUUGCUCUUACGGGUGGCGAGUGGCGGACGGGUGAGGAAUACAUCUGAAUCUACUUUUUCGUGGGGGAUAACGUAGGGAAACUUACGCUAAUACCGCAUACGACCUACGGGUGAAAGCAGGGGAUCUUCGGACCUUGCGCAAUUGAAUGAGCCGAUGUCGGAUUAGCUAGUUGGCGGGGUAAAGGCCCACCAAGGCGACGAUCCGUAGCUGGUCUGAGAGGAUGAUCAGCCACACUGGAACUGAGACACGGUCCAGACUCCUACGGGAGGCAGCAGUGGGGAAUAUUGGACAAUGGGCGCAAGCCUGAUCCAGCCAUACCGCGUGGGUGAAGAAGGCCUUCGGGUUGUAAAGCCCUUUUGUUGGGAAAGAAAAGCAGCAGGUUAAUACCCCGCUGUUCUGACGGUACCCAAAGAAUAAGCACCGGCUAACUUCGUG
This 492-nucleotide ribosomal RNA is filed under the name uncultured bacterium. Its description in RNAcentral is "partial 16S ribosomal RNA". It matches the Rfam family "Bacterial small subunit ribosomal RNA", at positions 29 to 507 of the family's 1533-position model. The record is from RNAcentral.